AUUCCAGCUCCAAUAGCGUAUAUUAAAGUUGUUGCAGUUAAAAAGCUCGUAGUUGGAUUUCUGGCGGGAGCGGCCUGUCCUGCCCUUUGCGGGGUUGAGCACAAGCGCUGCAUCCGGCCAUCCUUGUGGAGAGCGUUUCUGGCAUUCAGUUGUCGGACUCGGGAUCCGCAUCGUUUACUGUGAAAAAAUUAGAGUGUUUAAAGCAGGCAUUUGCUUGAAUACAUUAGCAUGGAAUAAUAAGAUAGGACUUAGUCGUUAUUUUGUUGGUCUUGCACGUCUAGGUAUGAUUAAUAGGGAUAGUUGGGGGUAUUCAUAUUUAAUUGUCAGAGGUGAAAUUCUUGGAUUUAUGAAAGAUGAACUUAUGCGAAAGCAUUUACCAUGGAUGUUUUCAUCG
This 394-nucleotide ribosomal RNA is filed under the name Stramenopiles sp. MAST-6. RNAcentral describes it as "partial small subunit ribosomal RNA". It matches the Rfam family "Eukaryotic small subunit ribosomal RNA", at positions 582 to 975 of the family's 1831-position model. The record is from RNAcentral.